ACGCUCGACACCUACUGGAGGCAGCAGUGGGGAAUAUUGCACAAUGGGGGAAACCCUGAUGCAGCGACGCCGCGUGAGCGAAGAAGUAUUUCGGUAUGUAAAGCUCUAUCAGCAGGGAAGAAACUGACGGUACCUGACUAAGAAGCACCGGCUAAAUACGUGCCAGCAGCCGCGGUAAUACUGAGCGGGCGUGGCGAAGGAC
This 202-nucleotide ribosomal RNA is filed under the name uncultured bacterium. RNAcentral's name for it is "partial 16S ribosomal RNA". It matches the Rfam family "Bacterial small subunit ribosomal RNA", at positions 328 to 544 of the family's 1533-position model. The record is from RNAcentral.